This 500-nucleotide ribosomal RNA is filed under the name uncultured Glomeromycotina. RNAcentral's name for it is "partial small subunit ribosomal RNA". It matches the Rfam family "Eukaryotic small subunit ribosomal RNA", at positions 591 to 1092 of the family's 1831-position model. The record is from RNAcentral. Lineage: Eukaryota; Fungi; Glomeromycota.
CCAAUAGCGUAUAUUAAAGUUGUUGCAGUUAAAAAGCUCGUAGUUGAAUUUCGGGAUCAAUAUGUCGGUCGUGCCUCCGGUACGUACUGGCAUCAUUGAUUUCUCCCUUCUGACGAACCAUGAUGUCAUUAAUUUGGUGUCAUGGGGAGUCAGGACUGUUACUUUGAAAAAAUUAGAGUGUUUAAAGCAGGCUCACGCUUGAAUACAUUAGCAUGGAAUAAUGAAAUAGGACGUUUGACCCUAUUUUGUUGGUUUCUAGGAUCAACGUAAUGAUUAAUAGGGAUAGUUGGGGGCAUUAGUAUUCAAUUGUCAGAGGUGAAAUUCUUGGAUUUAUUGAAGACUAACUACUGCGAAAGCAUUUGCCAAGGAUGUUUUCAUUAAUCAAGAACGAAAGUUAGGGGAUCGAAGACGAUCAGAUACCGUCGUAGUCUUAACCAUAAACUAUGCCGACUAGGGAUCGGAUGAUGUUAAUUUUUUAAUGACUCAUUCGGCGCCUUACG